GUUGGAUCAGGGCUCAGGAUGAACGCUGGCGGCGUGCUUAACACAUGCAAGUCGAGCGAAGCACUUGUUUGGAAUCCUCCGGGAGGAAAAACAAUUGACUGAGCGGCGGACGGGUGAGUAACGCGGGGGGAACCUGCCUUAUACCGGGGGAUAACAGCUGGAAACGGCUGCUAAUACCGCAUAAGCGCACGGCACCGCAUGGUGCAGUGUGAAAAACUCCGGUGGUAUAAGAUGGACCCGCGUUAGAUUAGCUAGUUGGCGGGGUAACGGCCCACCAAGGCGACAAUCUAUAGCCGGCCUGAGAGGGCGACCGGCCACAUUGGGACUGAGACACGGCCCAAACUCCUACGGGAGGCAGCAGUGGGGAAUAUUGCACAAGGGGCGAAAGCCUGAUGCAGCGACGCCGCGUGAGCAAAAAAUUAUUUCGGUAUGUAAAGCUCUAUCACCAGGGAAAAAAAUGACGGUACCUGACUAAGAA
Molecule: ribosomal RNA, 478 nt
Filed under: uncultured bacterium
Lineage: Bacteria
Description: partial 16S ribosomal RNA
Rfam family: Bacterial small subunit ribosomal RNA
Source: RNAcentral